This 279-nucleotide ribosomal RNA is filed under the name uncultured archaeon. Its description in RNAcentral is "partial 16S rRNA". It matches the Rfam family "Archaeal small subunit ribosomal RNA", at positions 1047 to 1325 of the family's 1478-position model. The record is from RNAcentral.
GAGACCCGUACCCACAGUUGCCAGCGGCUGCUCCGGCAGGCUGGGUACACUAUGGGGACCGCCUCUGCUAAAGAGGAGGAAGGAGCGGGCGACGGUAGGUCAGUAUGCCCCGAAUUCUCCGGGCUACACGCGGGCUACAAUGGAUGGGACAAUGGGCUCCGACACCGAAAGGUGAAGGCAAUCUCUUAAACCCAUUCUUAGUUCGGAUUGAGGGCUGAAACUCGCCCUCAUGAAGCUGGAAUCCGUAGUAGUCGCGUUUCAACAUAGCGCGGUGAAUAC